GUCUCGUUCCUGAGCUCCAAGUGUCCUCCCCAGUGCUGCUGUGUGAUGAGUGCCACCUGAAGGUGCCCUAUGAGAGGAAGAUCCUCAUUAGGAAUCCCAGCCACCUUCCUGGCUGCUACGGGCUUAUUCCCCAGAAACGCAAGGAGGACUCUGCUGUGCUCUACUCCAGCCCCAAGCCCUGUGGGAUUGUGCAGCCCCAGAGCACAGCAGAGAUCCCAGUUGUGGUGGCAGUGCAGGCCCUGGGCACUCAUCGCACCGACGUUCUCAUCGGCGUGUUCGGGGAUGAGAGGAACCCCCUGAGAGCACAAUUACGGAGCUCAGGACGGCUGGCAGAAAUCUCCCCAAGCCCAAGGCUGGCAGAGCUUGGCAGGAU
This is a long non-coding RNA of Melospiza melodia melodia, 373 nucleotides long. RefSeq lists it as uncharacterized. NCBI's taxonomy places the organism in Eukaryota, Metazoa, Chordata, Aves, Passeriformes, Passerellidae. The record is from RefSeq and is a predicted model, not a curated record. The transcript is spliced from 3 exons.